This is a long non-coding RNA of Astatotilapia calliptera (eastern happy), 2669 nucleotides long. The record is from Ensembl. Lineage: Eukaryota; Metazoa; Chordata; Actinopteri; Cichliformes; Cichlidae.
GCCUUCACCCGGGUGGCACGGUCCAACGGAGCAGGGACAACAAGAACGCUCCUCUCUGCGAGAUAUGAUUCAACAAAAGUUCAAGCAAGAGAUGUUUGCUAAACCUCAAGAAGAAAUGUUGACUAUUCAAGCUAAAAAUACCACGUUGCAUCGGAAUGGUCAAAACUUGAGACCAGCUGCUAAAAAGGGCCGCAACUCCAAGACACCGGGCCAUGAAAGGGAGGCAGCGGGUCACCUUGUGACCUCCUUGCCUACCGAGGAAGGCUUGCCACAGCUGGACUUGUUAGCUCUCAAGUCUCCGAAGCCUGACGUAGAAAACCAGACUGAGAUUCAAGCCCUCAGACGACCCCUGAAACUUGCCCCGCUGGAGCUGCCAGAGAAGGUGAAGGAGGCUCAGAAGGAAAAGCUUAAGUUUAUCCACCAAGAACCCAACCCAGCCUCUUGUAAGCUGGAUGGGACCCAUACGAGGAAGGCAAAAUCAUGCAUGAGGCAAAGACUGGUAAAAGCAGAGGCAUUUCCUUCUGCUUCCAUUGCACCAGUCAAAGCCCAGCAGCAAAAUCAAUCAGCAAGGCCACAGCUGACGCGUGCCAACCCCAUAGAGCAGGAUGGACACAAGCAUCUGGAGGAUGUGGUGUGUCGAGGUACCCCAGCUCCUCUGUGCAGCAAACCUAACCCUCCCUCAUUUUUCCCUCAAAUUAAAGCUCAGGCUGCAUGUGGCAGAGAGGCGGCGUGCCACAUCCCUGGCAACUUCCAGGAGGAGACAGGUUGGAGGCGGCUAAGGCUGCCUAGAGCACAAUGCCUAGAAGAGGAUCAGUGCAAUUCAAACACGUCAACACUAGGAUUAUCAGCAGAUGAGUGCAAGCUGGUCCAAGGUGUCCAAGGCAAAGGGCAGCGGGGAGAGAGGCUUCUUCGAGGACAGCCACAUGUUGGGAAAGGCAUCAAACAGCCGCCUGCACCUGCAGCCUCCUGGGAGAAUGGAAGUGCCAGGAAGAGCCACGAGGAGGAUGGCAGUAAGCAAGCUGCACUCUGAACCGACAGUCAGCUGAAGGUGGAAGCAGAGAACAGGAACUUGAUAGUCUGAAGCCAAGUGCUGCUAACUGCAGAUUAAUGAGGAAAAAAGCCUUGAUCGCAAAGCAUAACAAUGCAGUCCCUCUGGAAUGUCUCUAAUAAAAUAGGAUGAUGUCAUCAUAAAGCACACACAUGCAGAGGACUGGUAUAGACUGGAAUGUACUCCAACUGGAAACCUGAUUUCUAGUAUUUUAAGCAGGAAUGUACAACAUAAUGAUUACUCUUCGGCAGUGCUUAUUUAUUUAUUUUUUAUUAACUCAAAUGUCUCCAGUGUGAAAAUAGCUCCUUAUGAAAUCUCGGGGGUGUAUUGUACAUGCUGUUGGCACAAAGACCCGGAUCAAGAUUUUUUUGUGGCCCAAAAACAGAAAAUGCAAUGAAAAAAACCUGGUUUAUGAUCAGAUGUGUAGAUAGGUCGGGAGCGCAUUUGUUUUGUUAAAUUAUCAUUCUUUCUGAUUUGUUAAAGCAAUUCUGCUUUUCUAAGCAGAAUUAAUUCGACCUAUAGGCAGCUACAGGAGUUUCUGAAUGCCAGCUGAGUUUUUUGUUGUUGUUUGAUCACACUCCUCCACCCUGGAAGUGCUUUAAUGUGGCUUUUGGAAACGAGCCAGGCAGGUAACAUUAGAGAUGUAACUCACCCCAAAGUAUGAACCCGUGAGCUCACUGUCAUUACUGCCAUUAUAUACUGUCUGCUUUAUUCAUUAAAUUAUCUUUGGUAACUAAGUGCUAUGUUUGCUCUAGAAAUAAAAAGGAGACUGUGGAUCCAAAACUUCUUUCCACUGCCCCCAAGUGGUCAGAAACAGCAGUUACUGAAAGAUUUACUGCAGUGAAAAUCUGCUGCUUGGAGUCAGCGUCUUAUAAACACCAAAGGAAAAGCUUCAAAAGCUUUUUCAGGGUUAUAGUCUAUGCCAACUGUGACCUCUGGCCAGGAAUAAACAAUAAAAGCCACUAAACAAGAAAAGUAAAACUUUUCAAGCCAAACCUGCAACAAAAUCAAUGAUAUAACUGUUUGCAGUGUUUUUCCACUCAUUAAAAAUCUGCAUAUGCAGUGCUGUCUCUUGUGGACCCCACUAAUAAGAAAAAACAAAGCACAAACAACAUGUUUGUAUAUUAAGAAGUUAACCUCUCUAGUAAAGAACCUUCUACACAUCACAUCAGACUUUCUAGUAAAAGUCCUUGUUUCAGUGCGAUCUUCAGUAUGUUUUGGUUUCUUUCACUUCCGCAGCUAUUACAUUUUAUUGCUAUUUCUCUUGUUUUAUUGAACAUCCAUUGUGUUCUGUUUGUCUUUGCACCAUUUUUCUAUUUGCCAGUUUUUCUUAAGCUGCAGUGUGUUUGACCUCUGAGGGCAGUCUAAGUACAACACUACACAAGUCAACAAUGACAAGAACUAAUUUCACAGACUCUACUGAAGGGCGGCCCUCAAGAGUGAUACCCUGGAACACAUGUCUUUUAUCCUGUCUUCCUUCUCUCACCCCAACCAGUCGCAGCAGAUGGCCCCGCCCCUCCCUGAGCCUGGUUCUGCCGGAGGUUUCUUCCUGUUAAAAGGGAGUUUUUCCUUCCCACUGUCGCCAAAGUGCUUGCUCAUAGGGGGUCAUAUGAUUGUUGGG